RNAcentral lists this long non-coding RNA (386 nucleotides) under Columba livia (rock pigeon). Its description in RNAcentral is "partial uncharacterized LOC102095324". Lineage: Eukaryota; Metazoa; Chordata; Aves; Columbiformes; Columbidae. The record is from RNAcentral.
GCUGUGUCUGGGAUUACAAUGUCACUGUUUCCUGGGAUGUAAUACAGGCUGAUCUGGGAGGCGAUGGGCUGUCUAUACUGUGAUCUCUACACAGAGCUGGGGCUGUUCCUCCCUUGAUUUGGGGAGGAAGGAGGUAGGGUGGCUGAGCUGUCACCCUUCCCGUCUGAGUGGGGAUGGAUCCACAUUAGCUGGGAGAGGACAUGAUGGUGACUGGUGUGGUGUUUUUCAGAUUGAUGGCCUGGAGGAGAAGCUGGCGCACUGCAGACAGAGCAUGGAGGAGGUGGAUGUGAAACUGCGCAGGGAGAAGCUCAGCCCUGAAGGAAGAAAGUCACUGGAGAGAGAGAGAAACUUACUAAUGACCAAAGCUGACAACUAUGGUAAGAGCU